RNAcentral lists this ribosomal RNA (1614 nucleotides) under metagenome. RNAcentral describes it as "SSU rRNA". It matches the Rfam family "Eukaryotic small subunit ribosomal RNA", at positions 3 to 1596 of the family's 1831-position model. The record is from RNAcentral.
CCUGGUUGAUCCUGCCAGCAAUCAUAUGCUUGUCUAAAAGAUUAAGCCAUGCAUGUCUAAGUAUAAGCGAUUAUACAGCGAAACUGCGAACGGCUCAUUAUAUCAGUAAUAAUCUACUCAAUUAUAAACUUUUACUUGGAUAACUGUAGGAAUUCUAGAGCUAAUACAUGCUAAGUGGCUGGACCGGGGCAACUCGGGAAGGUCGCGCUUACUAGAGGAGAAAUGAACUGGGAGCAAUCCCAAAAUAUAAAUGAAUGAUAGUAAAAGAUGGUGAAUCGGUGGGGUGACCCCCGAUGAUCUGAACGAGUUUCUGCCCUAUCAGCUAAAUCGUAGGGUAGUGGCCUACGAUGGCGAUAACGGGUACGGGGAAUUAGGGUUCGAUUCCGUAGAGGGAGCCUGAGAUACGGCUCCCACUUCCAAGGAAGGCAGCAGGCGCGUAAAUUAUCCAAUCCCAAUACGGGGAGAUAGUGACAAGAAAUAUUGAUGUGUGGCCUUAUAGGUUGCACGAUUAAAAUGAGAACAAUUUAAAAAACUUAACGAAACAACUGGAGGGCAAGUCUGGUGCCAGCAGCCGCGGUAAUUCCAGCUCCAGUAGUGUAUAUUAAAGUUGUUGCGGUUAAAAAGCUCGUAGUUGGACUGAAUCUAAAAGGUUUGUCGACUCCCUCGUCUACGGACUUGGGGUUAAAGUUGGGAUUCCUAUUGAUGAAUGGGGACAUCACCCGCAAGGGCGUUUCCAGAUUUUACUUUGAAUUAAGGAGAGUGUUUAAAACAGGCGAAUGCCUUGAAUAAUUUAGCAUGGGAUAAUAAAAUAUGACUUUGGUCUAAACUUGUUGGUUUCUAAGGCCUUAGUAAUGAUUGAUAGGGACAGUUGAGGUCGCUUGUAUUCAGGGGCGAGAGGUGAAAUUCUAUGACCCUUUGAGGACAAACAAAUGCGAAGGCAUUCGACAAGGAUGUUUUCAUUAAUCAAGAACGAAAGUUAUGGGAGCGAAGAUGAUCAGAUACCGUCGUAGUCAUAACUGUAAACUAUGUUGACUCGGGAUCGGGGGAUGUUACAUGGAUGACUCUCCCGGCACCGAAUGCGAAAGCAAAGUAUCCAAACUCCGGGGGGAGUAUGGUCGCAAGGCUGAAACUUAAAGGAAUUGACGGAAGGGCACCACCAGGAGUGGAACCUGCGGCUUAAUUUGACCCAACACGGGAAAACUCACCCAGUCCAGACGCAACGAGGAUUGACAGAUUGAUAGCUCUUUCUUGAUUUUGUGGAAGCCGGUGCAUGGCCGUUUUUAGUUGGUGGAGUGAUUUGUCUGGUUAAGUCCGAUAACGAACGAGACCUUCUUUUAUUAAAUAGGAGCUUAAAUAAGGGGACCUUUGGAGGUGCAGGGGCAACUCUGUGCUUUCUGGGUUCUCAUAAAUUAUAAAAGUAUACUUCUUAGAAAGACUGUUGGCGUCUAUAAAGGCCAAAGGAAGAUUGAGGCAAAAACAGGUCUGUGAUGCCGCUCGAUGUCUGGGGCUGCACGCGCGUUACACUGAGAUGAGCAACGAGUAUUAAACAAGGCUGAAGAGCCGAGAGAAUCUAAAAAACAUCCCGUGAUGGGGAUUGUAUAUUGAAACUAUUAC